RNAcentral lists this long non-coding RNA (20559 nucleotides) under Nicotiana benthamiana. RNAcentral describes it as "long non-coding RNA (NBEN_LNC019544)". The record is from RNAcentral. Lineage: Eukaryota; Viridiplantae; Streptophyta; Magnoliopsida; Solanales; Solanaceae.
AUAAGAUAAGUUAUCUUUCAGACAAAAAAAAAAACAAUGCUACCAAAUCUGAAAAAGCACUUCAAGAAAUAAUAUUUUACAAUGGAAGUAGGGGUGGCAGAUAGGGGGGUCGGGUUGAAUUUUGGGCCGGUCAAGAUGAGUUAAGUCAAUAAAUAGGUCAUUGUCCAACCCAACCCAAAGUGUACUUAGGCUAAAAUGGCUUAGUCAAGAGGGGCUAAACAAUGGGUCAUAACCCAACCGUCAAACUUGACCAAUGUUUUAGAACCAUGCUCAUCUUGCAUAAAAAACUUUUACCUUAGAAGAUGUAACUUGAAAAAUAUUUACGAAUGGGGGUGGGGUUGGGGUUGGGAGUUGGGAUGGGUGGGUGGUGCAGAAAAAUAAUUAGAUGGGUGUGGGCUCAAAUUGCCACCCAUAUUUGGAAGGCAUGAAAGGCAAAACUGCCGCCAGAUGACUUUAUGAGACGACUAUGCUAUUGUAUGUCAUCGAGAUAUUGGUGUUGCACUCAGCGGCAAGAAGAAUCAUUGGCUCAUAUAUUCUUCAACUUCAAUGUUAUCUCCAGUGCCUCAUUUAAUGUCACCUCCAGUGCCUCAUUUAAUGUCAUCUCCAAUGCCCCAUUCAGAAGACGAAUCUGAAAGUCCGGCGCAACAAAAUUUUAAUUGUAAUAAGUAUACAUAAAAUAAAAAAUAAGACAGCCAUUUAUUACCUCGUUUCUAGGUAGUUUAUGAUGAUAGUGUGUCUCGGUACUACAUUAUAGAUAGAAAAGAUAAAUUCCAAGUAAUGUUCUAAACAUUUUAAAAAUAUAAAAAUGGCAAAAAAAUUCCACAUACAUGGCAGCUUCAUAAAAAAGUUCCUCUUGAUUGGCUAAUAUAUAGUAUUCACAUUCUUCUUUUCGUUGAAUAUUUGGUCUUCUAUUUUCCAGUCUAUUUUCUGGUGCACUCUAUAUUCUGUUUUUCGAUAUUUCUAUGUAAUUAGGCUACAAACAAUAUUUGCUAAAAGUUCAACCAGUGCAAUUUAUGAUACUUGUGUAGUGUAUAUCAUUGGUUUUUACAAAUUUGGAAGUAGGAAUGGCAAAUGGGCGAGUUGAGUUGAAUUUUGUAACUAAGUGUAUAAAUUUCUCCUAACAUAAUUUUAGUUUAUUGAUAUGAGCUACUGGACUUUCAAGAUAUAAUUAAUGAACAUAUUAAUUUUGUCUUUGAUUUUUAAUCUAGAAGUGCUUCAUUUUCGAUAUCCAGGUGGCACAUUAUUGAGUUAGUAUGACACUAUGACUUACUUUUUCCGGUCCAAAAUAAGUAAAUUUUUAGUUGUUUUCACACAGAUUAAAAAAAUUAUCUUUUAAUAUUAAUUAGCAGUAAAAUUGAUCAUAUUAACAUUUACUAUCUCUUCACAUAAACACACCUAACAUAUGCUCAAAUACUAUUUACUCCAAGGACAAUGUAGGAAAAAAAUAAUUAAUUUAUUCUUAAAAUGUGAAAAAAUUAUUUACUUUGGACCAUAAAAAAAGGCAAAAAAAAAUUACUUAUUUUCGACAUGUAGGAGUAGUUUUAUUUUUUAUUUUUUAAAUUCCAAGAAUCUAUUAAUAUACUGACACUGGUUACUGUCAUCUAUGACUUCGACGCUCCAGUUGUGAAAACGUUAAACUCUAAAUAAAAUCAAUAAUACUAUUGUUUAUGAACUGACUUUAAACAGCAAGGGAUGCUAGACAAUUUAUAUUAUACUUUUCACUAUGAAAUGAAUAUUAACUUAUCUCCCCAAAUUAUGAGGGUCGCUAAUAAUAAAUCACUAAUAGAAAGUAUUUGAUGAUUUAAUUUCAAUUUGUAUUUCUAUUUUGUUUGUUCAUAUGAAUUUUUGUUAUACACUUGAUUUUAUAUUAUGUAAUUUCAUGUCUACAAUUAUAUCUUUAUUUUAAAUUUUAAAUUUAUUUUUUUAAUUUCUUAUAUCUUUUGUAUCCAUUAUAAAUAGAAAAAGGUAAAUUCUACAGCAUGCAUUCAAAAAAGCAAACGGAGUAGCUUUGUGUAGAGUACCUGAUUCCUAUAUCAGAUCCAGCGUUGUGCUGGAGAUAUGCAAGCAUCUGAACCGUCUUUGCGAUUCGACAAAUAUUUGUUUUAUAGAAUGUAAUUAAUUGUAACUAUUCGGUCGGUCAUUUUGAGCAAUUGCAGUUCGCUCGGUUGUGUUGAGGGCAUGAGUAAUUCCGUAGAAAGUCGUAACGAUCCGACCGAUAGUUUUGAGCUUUUGCACUUUGAUCGCCAGUUCUCGGGCAUGACUUGCCCCGUGUGAUGUAUUAUGACCGAUAGAUCAUUGGUUUUGGUUUUCAGGAAAAUUGGAAUGAAUUUGAAGGAACGGUCUCAGUUAAAAGCUUUGAAUUUAAAAGGUUUGACCAAGAGUUAACUUGUUUGUAUAUGAACUCGGAUAAGAUUUUUAUUAUUUGGUUAGCUUCGUUGGGUGAUUUAUGAUUUAGGAGCGCGAUCAGAAUGCAUUUUUGAAGUCCGCGGAAGGAUUUGGCUUGAAUUGACAAAGUUAGUAAUCUGGCGAAUUCUGGUUGAUAGGUGAGAUUUUGAUCCGAGGGUCGAAAUAGAAUUUCGAGAUGUUGUAGCUUUGUUAUGUCAUUUUUGACGUGUGUGCAAAAUUUCAGGUCAUUCGGACGUCGUUUGAUCAGGUUUUUGAUCGAAAGAGUAAUUCGAAAGUUUUUGAAUUCUUAGUUUUGAAUCCGAGGGUGAUUCGAUGUUUUGAUGUUGUUUUGAGAGUUCCGAAGGUUGGAACAAGUUUGAAUGAUGUUACAGGGUAUGUUGGCAUAUUUGGCCAGGGUCCCAUAAGGCUCGGAUAAGUUUUGGAGGAGUUUUUGGAAGAUUUUUGUCGUUUUGAGCAUAAGCAUGUAAUGAUCCAAAGGUCCAUUUUUAGUUCUAAAGAUCAGAAUUUAAUUUCGAGACUUCCAUAAUUUUGACAAUGAAUUAUAGGAGUGAUCUGGAAAAUUUGGUUUAAUUUCAUCAAGUCGUGAUUGAAUUUUUGACGUGAAAAAUGAGUUAAUUAUUUAACGAGCGAAAUGGGUAUCACACUGAGCAAAUGAGCUCCGAAUUCAGUGUCGAUUAAAGAGCCAUGUUCAUAUUAUUAUUUGUGACUCAUAGGAAUAAGAAUCAUCGAAUUCCGAGUUUGUAUGAUGGAGUUAGAGCCUUUUUAGUGAAAUUAAAGAUUGCUGGUGCAUCAGAUCUGGUGUGGCACUUUUAGUGACUAAAUCUGGCACUUUUAGUGACCAGAUUUGGGUUUUAGCGACCAGAUUAGCUUAAUAAAGCUGCUGCAUUUUUUUGCUCAUUUAGUGUGCACCUUUUAGCGACCAAAUUUGACACUUUUAGCGGCAAGAUUUGGCUUUUAGCGAUAAGAUUCGGGUGUAUUAGUGUUGUUCUGUUUUUAUCUCAUUUUGACUUCUUUUUUUGUGAAAGAACACGGCUUGGCUUGGGGCGAUUUUUGAGCAAGAAAUUAUGGGAAAUCUUGAGGUAAGUCACUUGUGAUCGUUUCUACUCCAUAAUAUUGAAUUAUCAUCGAAUAAUCCGAUUAAAUUACAUGUUUUUGAGGUGUAAAUUGGGGAUUUGGACUUAGGGAUUUGAAAAUAAGAUUUAAAAAUUUGGAGGCCGAAUUUUUAUCGGAAUUUAGUAAUUUUGAUAUGGUUGGACUCGUGGUUGAAUGAGUUGUCGAAUUUCGUGAGUUUCGUCGAAUUUCGAAGUGUGGGCCCAGGGAUCGGGUUUGAGCAACUUUCGAAUUUUGAUGUUAAACUGGAUUUUUUCGAGUGGGCUUCGCUCCCUUAACAUAUUUUUAUAAUUGUGUACUGAUUGUGACUAGAUUUGGAGCAUCCGGAGGUCGAUUCGUGCGGGCGAGGCAUUACGGGCUACAGUUUUGACCGGAUCGAGGUGAGUAAUGAUUGUAAUGAUGUCUUGAGGGUUUGAACCCUCGAAUUGCACGACGUAGUGCUAUAUUGAGGUGAGACACGUGCUAAAUGACGAGCGCGGGGUCGUUUACUACUGGGGAUUCCCGAUUGAUAUUUUUACCGCGUAUUUGACUGAGACUUAAUUUUUAUCAUCAUGACUUGGGCUUAAUGCCAUAUUGGGAUUCAUGCCAAUUAUUUGGACUCAUUGAGAAUUUUUAUCACUAUUUUCUCACUGCUUUGACUUAUAUUUAAACUCAGUCUUGUUGACAAUUAUUGUUUUACAAACUCAAUUUUGGAACUCAAAUGAUAUUUUGGGUUGAGAACUACUGUUUUACAAAUACCCGAGGAGCUUGUGAUGAUUUUCGGAUUGAGUGAAGCCGAGGGCCAUAUGUGAGGAUAUGCUGAGUGAUAUGAGGCCGAGGGCCUGAGAUACGUUUAUAUGCCACAGGGUGGCUUGAGUGAUGUGAGGAGUCUUCAGGCCUUGUUAGUGCUCUGAGGAGGCUUUCAAGCCUUGUGAGCAAUGUGAGGAGGCUUUCAGGCCUUAUGAGUGAUGUGAGAAGCCUUUCAGUCCUUAUGUUGAUAUAGCGCUUGGGCCGUAAGGGGCCCCUUUGGAGUCUGUACACCCACAGUGAGCGCGGGUAGCUAUUAUGCCGAGUGAUUGAUACUGAGCCUGAGGGGCUGAUAUGAGUGUUGUUUUUUAGAGUGAGCCCGAGGGGCUGAUAUGAGUGACUAUGAGGUAGCCCAAGGGGCUGAUACUAGUGAUUGUAAGGUAGCCCGGGGGGUUGUUACUGCUUUGAGAUAUUGCCCGAGGGGCAAGCUUUUAUGUGCUCAUUUUGCAUACUUACUUUUCUUUUACUUGUUAUACUGUGAUAUUUGUGCCCGAUGGGCGAAUUUCUGUGUAUAUUAGCACUAAUUAUUUGAAAUUAUUUCACAACUGUUGAAAGGACUAUUUUCAAAGAAGGUUUAAAACUAAGCCAAUAGAUUUUCUAAAGAUUUCACAGUUCACAGUUUUCUCAAAAAAUUGUACAUUGCUUCUAUACAGCAUGUUGGUUGCUUUACGUGAUUUCUCAUUGUCCAGUUGUUAUUUACCUUUAUUAUUCACUGAGUUAGAGUACUCACUUUACUCCCUGUACCUUAUGUGUAGAUGCAGGUAUUUAUUCACCCGGUAGCGGGUAUUGGCUGUUUGGAAGCAGCUCUGUAGGAGUUUAGCAAGGUGACUUCCAGUGCUCACAACAUCGUUUUUCUAUGUUAUUCGUUAUUCCUGUUCAGUGUAUUUCUAGACUUGCAAAUGUAAUUACAUUCUUAUAGAAGCUCUGACUUGUGACACCCCGGUUUGGGCUGUGAUUGGUUUGUACUUUCUCUAAGUAUUGUUAUUAAAUCAUAUUUAAAAUUAUUUACUUAUGUUGAUCUAUUUUUUGAAAAAGGCAUUUUGAGUUGGUUGGCUAGCCUUGUCUUCACUAGAGGCGACAUCACGAGCGGAGUAGGGUUUGGGUCGUGAGAUAAGUAUUAUGACUUAUGUGAAUCGUCGGUUUUAGUUUUCAAGUUAUUUGGAGUUGAUUUGGAAGAAUGAUUCUCAGCUAGAAGUUUUAAAUUUGAAAGAUUUGACCAAGUUUUGACUUUUUAGAAUUUGACCUAACAUUGGAUUUUUGAUGGUUCCGUUAGCUCUGUUGGGUGAUUUUGAACUUAGGAGCGCGUCCAGAUAGUUAUUUGAAGGUCCAUAGUAGAAAUUGGCUUGAAAUAACGAAAGCUGGAAUUUUGGAAAGUUUGAUCGGGGUAUCAGGGUCGGAUUUUGAUUCCGAAAGUUGGAGUAGGUCCAUAAUGUAAAAUUUGACUUGUGUGCAAAAUUUGAGGUCAACCAGACAUGAUUUGAUAUAUUUCGGCAUUGGUUGUGGAUGUUUGAAAUUUCAAGUUCAAUGAUUUCGAAUUGAGGUGUGAUUCGUCGUUUCGAUGUUGUUAUGUGUGUUUUGAGGCCUCAAAUAGGUCUGUUUUAUGAUAUGAGACAUGUUGGUAUGUUCGAACAGGGCCCCGAGGGGCUCGGGUGAGUUUCGUAUAGUUUGGGGUUGUGUUGCACUCUUUUUUGAUGUUUCGACGUCGUUUUUCAAGCAUAAAUGGUACUACAUUAAUGAAAUGAGCGCCGAUUUCUGUUUUUAUUGAAGCAUUAGAUCUGUAUCGUAAUUAUGGAGCCAUAGCAAAAAAAAAGAAUCGUUGAAUUUGGACAUCAUAUGAGGAUUUUAUGGUCAUUUUACUAAGAAUUGGGUUGCCAGAUUUUUUCCAAAUUAAUUUUGAAAUUGCCACUGAAUUUGUAUUUAAAAAUAUGUACUAUUUUUUUGAAACCAUCAUAUCUCCUUCAAUAUAAGGUCAAAUGGAGUGAUUCAAGAGCCUAAUUUGAUUAAAAUUUUACAAAGAAUCCAUUGGAGGAUCAAAAGCGAGUUUUGGGAUUGUUUAGCAUGAUAAUCGAGGCAGAAUAGCUGGCAAAAAAAAUAUAAAAUAAGGGUUUGUUCAUUUGGUCAUAUUUUGAGUUGGGGAGCUCGGAUUUGGGCGAUUUUGGAGGAGAAUUUCACCAUAUAUAUUGGGGUAAGUGUUCUCUACUUGAUUUCGGUGAUAUUUCAUGAAUCCAUCUUUGUUUAUGGCAUUUGAUUGAUGUUUUCAAAGUAAAAAUUUGGAGGGUUUUGCCUAAAGUUUCAUAAAGUGAAUUUUUAAGUUUGGGGAGGAUGUGACAACCCGACCCAUCGUCUUUUGUAUUUCAGCCCCGUUAUCCCCGUCUAUGCAUCCGCGUGUGUUGAUAUAUUUGGUGAAUUUGAAGUGUGUUGGGUUGAAUUUGGUUAGAAAUGAGACCAAUAGUCUCUUUAAGGAAAGCUUACAUCAAUCCUAAAACAUAAUUGUAUCUAACAUGUAUUUGGUACAUUACUACCCAAAAUAAUACUUCAUGUAUCUCUGUCCCAUUUUUCCCGCUUUAUGAUUCUUCAUGUGUCAUUAUAUGUGCUUGCUGAGUUUGAAGUGUUUCAGAUUGAAUUUGGAUAAAAAUGAGACAAAUAGUCUCUUUAAGGAAAGCUUAAGUUGGAAAAUUCAACCGGACGUUGACUUGUGAGUUAGAGGGCUCGGAAUGGAUUUUCGAUGAUUCAACUAGUUUCGGGGUAUAAUUUGUGACUUGGGAGCGAAAUCAGAAUUUAAUUUGGAGGUCCGGUGUGGAAUUAUGCUUGAAUCGGCUAAGUUCGAAUUUUGGCAAAUUCUGGUUGAUAGGUAAGAAUUUAAUCCGAGGGUUGGAAUGGAAUUUUGAGAGUUGUAGCAGCUUUGUUAGGUGAUUUUGGAUAUGUCUGCAAAUUUUCAGGUUAUUCGGACGUCGUUUGGUUGGGUUUUGGAUCGAAUGCGAAUUUGGAAAAGUUCUAGCUUGACUUAGGCUUGAAUUUAAGGAAUUUGGUGAUUUUUUAUGUUAAUGUUAGUGUUUUUAUGGCCUGAUCAAGUUUGAAUGAGGUAAUUGGUCAUGUUGGUGCCUUUGGUUGAGGUCCGGGGGCCUCGGGGUGAUUUCAGAGGGUUAACCGGGCUAUUUUUGGACUUGGAAGAAUGUUGGUGCACAACUGUUGGUGUGGCAGACCACAAAGCAUCACGUUUGUGGGGUGGUGGACACGAACACGUAGAGGGAAUCUGGGUGCCUGGGAUUUUUGCCUUCGCGUUCGCGAUGGAGAGGCCACGACAGCGUAGUAGAGGAGUCUUCUUGAUCGCGUUCGUGUGAUAAGGUGACGCGUUCAUGUAGGCCAGUGGAGUGGGCCAUCGCGUUCGCAUUGUGAGGGUCGCGUUCGCAUAUGAGGGCCUGGGAGCAACAUUAGAUAAAGCAUCGCUUCGCGUGACUAGGGUCGCGAACGCGAUGAAGGGAUUUCUGGACGGACAUAAGGGUUUAUAAACAUCUUCCCCGCGAGCUUAUAUCAUUUUCCUCCAUUUUUUAGCACAUUUUGGAGUUAUUGGACGAGGGAGUAAGAUGAUUUCACCUAGGUUUCGACUUGAGGUAAGAUUUAUGAGCUAAUUACAUGAUUUUAUUUGAGAAUCAUCAUCGAAAUCUCUGAAAAUAUGGUGGAAAUUGGAAUAUUUAGGGUGUGGUUUUUGGUGUUGAAAAUUGGGAAUUUGAAGGGGCUAUUGGACUCCGAUUUUGACGAACCUUAUAUGUACGGACUCGUGGAGAGACAAGGGUUUUAAAGAAUUUUGUAAUUUUUCGAGAACCGGGCUCGGGGCUCGGGUUUUUCCAACUUUGUGUUUUUGGGUGUAUUUCGGGUUAUUUCAAUUGGGCUAUGUUCCAUUAGUCUAUACUGACAUAUUCCUAUUGGUUUUGACCAGAUUUGGCAUCCGCGGAGGUUGAUUCUCAAGGGAAAGGCAUUGCGAGCUAGUUUGCGGCCGGCUUGAGGUGAGUAAUGGGGGUGGAUGAUGACCCGAGGGUUUGAAACUCUGGUAUAUCACAUUGUGACGCUAUUAUCAGGCUAGACACGCACUCCAUGGCUUGUGCGGGGUUGUAUAUGUUUGGAAAUAGUGACUCGGUCCAAUCCGAGGGAUAUAUUUUACUAUGUUGGCGAUUGCUUCGCAUACUAUAUUGAUGAUAUCUGGGCUUGAUGCCAUGUUUGGGAGGGAUAUAUUUUACUAUGUUGGCGAUUGCUUCGCAUACUAUAUUGAUGAUAUCUGGGCUUGAUGCCAUGUUUGGGGCCUUGUGCCGACUUGUGGAAUCCAUCAGGGAUCGUUAUCUCAGAAUUUUCAUGAUUUGCAUAUUACUUGAAUUCAGUCCAGGUUUAAAUAUUAUUUUUGCAAACUCAGCCAUAUUUAUGCGUUUUGAAAAUUCAAAUGAUUUUUAAAUGAUAAUUCGGGCUGAUGAGUACUAUCUCACUAUUUCUGGACUAUAAAUGAUUUUAAAUGGAAAUGGUGGUAACUAUUGGCACCGUGUAUUUUAAUUGGAAACGGUGGUAACUAUGGGCAUCGUGUAUUAUAAAUAAACGGUGGUAACUAUUGGCACAGUGUAUUGUAAUGGAAGCAGUGGUAAGUAUUAACAUUGUAUGAUAUGGCGCUUGGGCUGUAGGAGUCCCUCCGGAGUCUGAACCCCCACAGUGAGUGUGGGUACCUAUAUGGAUCGGGCUGCACGUUCCACAGUGUUCAUGCAUUGCAUUGCAUCCCAUACAUUUACUUAAUUUUUCUUAUUCUGUAUAUCUCUGAGACAUGUACUGUAUAGAACUGCUAGACAGCUUCAUUUUUUAUUGUUUCUUGUUUUUUUAUCUUCGGGUUUUUAUACAUGCUUAUUACUCGCCGAGUUGGUAGACUCACCCCAUGCUCCCUGCACAGAGGUCUAGCGUUGUUGCUGUUGCUUAUCCAGUUGCCGGAGUAUCGAGGUAGGUUCCAGCGUCCGCAGGACCGAUCAUUCUGAUCUUACCAGUUGUUUCUAUUAUUUGGAUACAUGUAUCUUUCCUUUAAGACUUGUAUUGGGUAUUGUUAGAGGCUCUGUAAUCGUGACCCUAAAUCUUGGGAGUUCUUGUUCAAUCGUGGUUUCGUAUUCGUACAAUUAAAAUUUUCCAGUUAUUUGGAGUUUAUUGUUAUAGUUGCCAUAUUUUUCCUUACUUGUUUCGUGUUUGGCUGAAUAGUUGUAUUUGAGAAUGUGUUGGUCAGGCUUGCCCAUCCUUACGGCCGGGCGCCAUCACGAUCGGGUUUGGGUCGUGACAAGUUGGUAUCAGAGCCUAGGUUGCUCGGCCUCACGAGUUAUGAGCCGGUUUAGUAGAGUCUCGCGGAUCGGUAUGUAGACGUCCUUAUCAUAUCCUCGAGGGGCUACAGAACUUAUAGGAAACACUUCACUUUCUUGGAAUUCUUAUCAUGCGGCUUUGUUGAUUUGAGAACUGAAACUUCUUAUUCAAUUCUCUCGCAUAUGGCGAGAACCUGUGCUACCGGACAUGGCGGACGUCCCCCAUUUCCACCAACUAGAGGCCGUGGUAGAGCAGCAGGGGCAGUACCAGUUGACUAUCGGACGUGGCGGUCGACCCCCAUUGCCACCAGCUAGAGGCCGUGGAUGCGGUCGUGGCCGUGGUCGUGGUAGAGUAGCAGGGGAAUUACCAGUUGACCCACAUGUUGCUCUUGUUCAGGAUCAACCCCCAGUUGUUGAGGCUCCAGCAGCACCUACUCAGGCACCGGCAGUGCCCAUUGUGAUACCUGGUCCCCAGGAGACGUUGGCUUAGAUCUUAUCCGUUUGCACCGGGUUAGCUCAGGUGGUAUCAGCUACCACUGCAGCGGAUGCAUCUCAGACCGGGGGUGGUUAUCAGACCCCCGCAGCUCGCACUCCAGAGCAGGGUGCACAGGGUUUGCAGACCCCAGAGGGACCACCAGCUUAGCCAGUUGCCCCUGUUCAGCCAAUUGUUCUAGUUCAGGGUGAUGGGGUACCAGUGAUGCCAGAUUACGAGCAGCGUCGUCUGGAGAGGUUCGACAGACUUUCACCUCCGACCUUUAGCGAUGUUCUAGGCGAGGAUGCCCAGGGUUUUCUUGACAAGUGUCGACGCAUGCUCAAGACAGAAGGGAUUUUGGAGACUAGUGGGGUAUCUUUUACCACUUUUCAGUUCUCAGGAGCAGCCUUCACNNNNNNNNNNNNNNNNNNNNNNNNNNNNNNNNNNNNNNNNNNNNNNNNNNNNNNNNNNNNNNNNNNNNNNNNNNNNNNNNNNNNNNNNNNNNNNNNNNNNNNNNNNNNNNNNNNNNNNNNNNNNNNNNNNNNNNNNNNNNNNNNNNNNNNNNNNNNNNNNNNNNNNNNNNNNNNNNNNNNNNNNNNNNNNNNNNNNNNNNNNNNNNNNNNNNNNNNNNNNNNNNNNNNNNNNNNNNNNNNNUGCGGAUCGGGAGAGGGUCCUGAGUCAUACCUUCGAGGAGGCGGUGGAUAUAGCUCACGAUAUUGGGACGGCUCGCCGUCAGGAGCGAGAGGAGAGGGAGUCCAAGAGGCCUCGAGGUUCAGUCAUUUAUGGCGGAGCUCCAUCUAGGGGCCAGUUUCAUCAGGGCAGAGGUCGUUCUUUUAGACCUCCUCAGUCAGGCCGCCCAGAGUAUAGCGGAGCUUCUUCCAGUCGUGGCCGUCAUGGUCACCAGCAGGUGCCCUCCCAGAUCAGAUUUCUGCACCCACUUUGUCAGCCCAGGGUUCAUCUGCGGCGAGGGGUUCCCUUCAGUCCCCUUCUCCAGUUUUAGUCUGUUGAUUUAAGUGUGGGGAGUUUGGUCAUGUGAAGAGACAUUGUCCUCGACUUCGUUGUGGUAGGUUUCAGUAGAGGGAUUAGUCCUCCUCUUCUUCUUCAUCUGUUUCAGCACCACCCCAGUCUAGUAGGGGUGGGGUUCAGUCAUCUAGAGGCCGCCCCAGGAGGGAUGAGCGAUCGAGCAGUAGUCAGGCUCGUUUCUAUGCACUCCCAGAUAGGAGAGAUGUUGUUGCUUCAGAUGCAAUGAUCACAGGUAUUAUCUCAGUUUUCCACAGGGAUGCUUCUGUUUUGUUUGAUCCCGAGUCUACAUAUUCUUAUGUAUUUGCUUACUUUGCUCAUCAUUUGGGGACUACCCAAGGGUGUAUAGCAUUUCCUGUGCAUGUAUCUACCCUGGUGGGUGAUAUUAUUAUUGUGUACCACGUGUAUCUGUCCUGUCUUGUUACCAUUGAGAGUCUGGAGACCCGAGCCGACUUGCUGCUAUUGAGCAUGGUAGAUUUUGAUGUUAUUCUGGGCAUGGAUUGUCUAUCACCGUGCCAUGCUAUUCUAGAAUGUCACGCCAAGACAGUUAUAUUGGCUAUGCCGGGUAUCCCGAGGGUUGUCUGGUGUGGUUCGACGGAUUAUGUACCAGCAGGGUAAUCUCUUUCUUGAAAGCCCAGCGGAUGGUUGGGAAAGAAUGUUUAUCAUAUCUAGCAUUUGGCAGGGAUGUUGGAGAUGAGACUCCUAGUCUUGAUUCGGUUCUCGUGGUGAGGGAGCUUCCUGAUGUCUCAAUUGUCUCAAUUGUCAGCAGGUCAAAUAUGAGCAUCAGAGAUCCGGUGGUGUACUUCAGCAGAUGGAUAUUCCGGAGUGGAAAUGGGAAAAGAUUACUAUGGACUUUGUGUGUGGUCUCCCUUGUACCUCGAGGAACUUUGAUUCUAAUUGGGUGAUUGUGGAUAGGCUGACCAAAUCUGCGCAUUUCAUUCCGGUGUGUACCACUUAUUCUUCGGAGCGGUUAAGAGAUUUUCAUCUGUGAGAUUAUGCGGUUGUAUGGGGUCCCGGUUUCUAUUGUCUCAGACAGGGGUACUCAGUUUUCCUCCCAGUUUUGGAGGACUUUUCAUCGGGAGUUGGGCACUCAGAUUCAGAUGAGCACAUCUUUUCAUUCUCAGACGGACGGACAGUCAGAGCGUACUAUUCAGAUAUUGGAGGACAUGUUGCGUGCUUGUGUUAUUUAUUUCAGAGGUUCUUGUACUGAGUUCUUGCCGCUUGCAGAGUGUGCUUAUAACAAUAAUUAUCAGUCCAGCAUUCAGAUGGCGCCGCAUGAGGCUUUAUAUGGGAGACAAUGUAGAUCUCUAGUCGGUUGGUUUGAGCCCGACGAGCCUAGACUAUUGGGGACAAAGUUAGUUCAGGGUGCCUUGGAGAAAGUGAAAGUUAUCCAGGAGAGACUUCGUACGGCUCAGUCGCGUCAGAAGCGUUAUGCGGACCGGAAGAUUCGGGAUGUAUCUUAUGUGGUGGGCGAGAAGGUUCUGUUGAAGGUCUCGCCUAUAAAAGGCGUGAUGAGGUUUGGAAAGACAGGGAAGCUGAGUCUGCGGUUUAUUGGACCUUUUGAGAUACUCAGGAGUAUUGGGGAGGGUGCCUAUAUGCUUGCCUUGCCACCCAACUUGUUGGGGGUUCACCCGGUGUUUCAUGUUUCCAUGCUCAGGAAGUAUGUUGGGGACCCCUCUCAUGUAUUAGACUUCAGCGCGAUUAAGUUGGAUGAGGACUUGACCUAUGAUGUGGGGCCAGUGGCUAUUUUGGGUCGUCAGGUUCGAAAGUUGAGAUCAAAGGGCAUAGCUUCAGUAAAGGUGCAAUGGAGAGGUCGGCUCGUGAGGAGGCCACUUGGGAGACCAAGCAGGAGAUGCGGAGCAGAUAUCCUCAUUUGUUUGAGGCUCCAGGUAUGUUUCUUGACCCACUCGAGUAUGAGCGUUUGUUUUAGUUGGGGAGGAUGUGACGACCCGACCCGUUGUCUUUUGUAUUUCAGCCCUGUUAUCCCCAUACUAUGCUUUCGCGUGUGUUGAUAUAUGUGUUGGUGAGUUUGAAGUGUGUUGGAUUGAAUUUGGUUAGAAAUGAGACCAAUAGUCUCUUUAAGGAAUGCUUAAGUUGGAAAAGUCAACCAUACAUUGACUUGUGAGUUAGAGGGCUCGGAAUGGUUCCGAUGAUUCGACUAGUUUCGGUGGAUGAUUUGUGACUUGGGAGCGAAAUCAGAAUUUAAUUUGGAGGUCCGGUGUAGAAUUAGGCUUGAAUUAGCUAAAUUCGAAUUUUGGCAAAUUACGAUUGAUAGGUGAGAAUUUGAUCCGAGGGUCGAAAUGGAAUUCCGAUAGUUGCAGUAGCUUCGUUAGGUGAUUUUGGAUAUGUCUGCAAAUUUUCAGGUCAUUUGGACGUUGUUUGGUUGGGUUUUGGAUGGAAUGCGAAUUUGGAAAAGUUCUAGUUUGACAUAGGCUUGAAUUUGAGGAAUUAUGGUGAUUUUUUAUGUUAAUGUUAGUGUUUUUAUUGCCCGAGCAAGUUUGAAUGAGGUACUUGUUAAUGUUGGUGCAUUUGGUUGAGGUCCCGAGGGCCUCGGGGUUAUUUCAGAGGGUUAACCGGGCUAUUUUUGGACUUGGAAGAAUGCUAGUGCACAACUGUUGGUGUUGCAGACCACAAGGCAUCGCGUUCGCGGGGUGGUGAACGCAAACGCGUAGAGGGAAUCUGGGAGCCUGGGAUUUUUCCUUCGCGUUCGCGAAGGAGAGGCUGAAAUCGCGUAGUAGAGGAGUCUUCUUGAUCGCAUUCGCGUGAUAAGGUGAUGCGUUCGCGUAGGCUAGGCGAGUGGGCCAUCGCGUUCGCAUUGUGAGGGUCGCGUUCGCGUAUGAGGGCCUGGGAGCGAGAUCAGAUAAAGCAUCGCGUUCGCAUUACUAGGGUCGCGAACGCGAUGAAGGGAUUUUUGGACGGACAGAAGGGUUUAUAAACAUCUCCUCCGCGAGCUUAUAUCAUUUUCCUCCAUUUUUGAGCACAUUUUGGAGCUAUUGGGCAAGGGAGUAAGGGGAUUUCACCUAGGUUUUGACUUGAGGUAAGAUUUAUGAGCUAAUUACGUGAUUUUAUUUGAGAAUCAUCAUCUAAAUCUCUGAAAAUAGGGUGGAAGUUGGAGAAUUUAGGGCGUGUUUUUGGUGUUAAAAAUUUGGAAUUUGAAGGGGCUAUUGGAUUCCGAUUAUGACGAACCUUGUAGGUACGGACUCGUGGAGAGACGAGGAUUUUGAAAAUAUGAAUUUGUAAUUUUUCGAGAAGUGGGCCUGGGGCUUGGGUUUUGCCAACUUCGUGUUUUUGGGUGUAUUUUGAGUUAUUUCGAUUGCUCUAUGUUCCAUUAGCCUAUUUUGACAUUUUCCUAUUGGUUUUGACCAGAUUUGGCAUCCGCGGAGGUUGAUUCUCGAGGGAAAGGCAUUGCGAUCUAGUUUGCGGCCGGCUUGAGGUGAGUAAUGGGUGUGGAUGAUGACCCGAGGGUUUGAAACCCCGGUAUAUCAUAUUGUGACUCUAUUAUGAAGCUAGACACACACUGCAUGGCUAGUGCAGGUCGUAUAUGUUGGAAAUUGUAACUCGGUCCAAUCCAAGGGAUAUAUUGUACUAUGUUGGCGAUUUCUUCACAUACUAUUUUGAUGAUAUUUUGGCUUGAUGCCCUGUUUGGGGCCUUAUUCCGACUUGUGGAAUCCUUCAGGGAUCGUUAUCUCAGAAUUUUCAUGAUUUUCAUGUUACUUGAAUUCAGUCCAGGUUUAAACAUUUUUUUUGCAAACUCAGCCAUAUUUAUAUGUUUUGAAAACUCAAAUGAUUUUUAAAUGAUAAUUCGGGCUGAUGAGUACUAUCUCACUAUUUCUGGACUAUAAAUUAUUUUAAAUGAAAACGGUGGUAACUAUUGACACCGUGUAUUUUAAAUGGAAAGGGUGGUGACUAUUGGCACAGUGUAUUAUAAAUGGAAACGGUGGUAACUAUUGGCACCGUGUAUUGUAAUGGAAACAGUGGUAACUAUUAACACUGUAUGAUAUGGCGCUUGGGCUGUAGGAGUCCAUCUGGAGUCUGAACCCCCACAGUGAGCGCGGGUACCCAUAUGGAUCGGGCUGCACGUUCCGCAGUGUUCAUGCGUUGCAUUGCAUCUCAUACAUUUACUUAGCGUUGCUUAUUCUGUAUAUCUCUGAGACUAGUACUGUAUAGAACUGCUAGAUAGCUUCAUUUUGUGUUUUUUCGUAUUUUCUUAUCUUCGGGGUUUUAUACAUGCUUAUUGCUAGCUGAGUUGGUAGACUCACCCCAUACUCUCUGCACCUUGUGUGCAGAUCCAGGUGCUCCAGAGACCUAGUGUUGCUGCUGUUGAUUGCCCGAGCUAUUCAAAUACUGAGGUAGCUUCCCAGCGUUCGCAGGACCACUUACUCUGUCUCUAUCAGCCGUUGCUGCUGUUGCUUAUCUAGUUGCUGGAGUAUUGAGGUAGCUGCCAGCAUCAAUAAGAUCAAUUACUCUAAUCUUACCAGAUUUUUCUGUUAUUUAGACACAUGUAUAUUUCCUUUCAGACUUGUAUUCGGUAUUGUUAGAGGCUCUGUACUCGUGACCCCAAGCCUUGGGAGUUCUUGUUCAGUCGUGGUUUCCUAUUCGUACAAUUACAUUUUCCAGUUAUUUGGAGUUUAUUGUUAUGGUUGCCAUAUUUUUCCUUACUUGCUUCGUGUUUGGCUGUAUCAUUGUAUUUGAGAAGGUUUUGGUCGGGCUUGCCCAGCCUUAUGGCCGGGCGCCAUCAUGACCGGGUUUGGGUCGUGACAGAACAUCGAUUCAGAGUCAGAAUUGGAUGAAACUAGUAUGGUUAGACUCAUAAUUGAAUGGGUUUCCGAAUUUUACGAGUUUUAUCGGGUCCGAUAUGUGAGCUCGGGUUGGGCUUUUUCGCAGAAUUUGGGCUUUUGAUUAAAGAUUCUACCUUUUUAAUUGGGAUUGGUUGCUUUAGCGUUGUUUGAUGCAUUUGUGUUGUUUUUGGUUAGUUUCUAGCCGUUCGGAGGUCAGAACACGCGAGAUGGCAUUUUUGGAGCAUUGCUUGGCUUGCUCGAUAUUGGAAUUGGCUUGAUUGAGGUAAGUAAUGAUUGUAAAUAUUGUCCCGAGGGUAUGAAACCCCAAAUUUCACAUUGUUGUGCUACUUUAAGGGACACACACGCUUGAUGACGAGCGUAGGGUCGUGCACCGCUGGGAAUUAUGACUUAGUUCGUCCCAUAUAACCGCUAAGUUGCAUAUUUGAUUAAAAACUGUUUGAUUUCAUUGUGUUUUUGGAAAUUAUUACGAGGAGGAGUUGGUAGCUGUUCUAGACCAGCAGAUUCGUCACUUGAGAUCGAAUAGUUUCCCUUCCGUUGGUGUUUAGUGGAGAGGUCAGCCUGCUGAGGCAUCGACCUAGGAGUCCAAGUCCGAUAAGCGGAGCCAUUAUCCUCAUAUUUUUUCCAACUUAGGUACUUCCCUUUUAUAUCCAUUCGAGGACGAACAGUUGUUUUAGAGGUAGAGAAUGUGAUGACCCAAAAGGUCAUCAUUUGUGUUGCAAGUAAAUUCAGUGUUCCGAGGCCUAAAAACCUCCUUUUUAUCUCACCUUGAUUUGCAUGCGUGGUCCGAACCCAUAUCCCAAAAGCCUUCUACGUGAAAAGAUGAGAAAUAGAAAUUUUUAGAGUUAAUAAUUUAAUUUUGGUUGACUUUGGUCAAAAUUUUGAGAAACGAACCAGGAUCCAUUUUCCGACGAUCCCGGGAGGUCUGGAGUAAAAUAUGAGACUUGGGCGUAUGCCCGGAAAUGACUUCCGAGGUCCCAAGCCUUAGAAAUUAAUUUUUGAAAGAAAUUAUUUUACAGAAUUAUCGAAGAAAUGAAGAAAAUAAUUAAUGUUUGAAACCAUUAGUAUCGGGCCCCUAUUUUGGUUUCGGAGCUCGGUACAAACGUGUUAUAGUAUUUAAAAGACAACUGUGAAACUUUUUGAAGAACGUAGUUUAUUUGACAUGAGUUGGACUACCGGCUGAAGAGUUAUGAACUUUGAGUAUUCUUGAUGAAAAUGUUGAGUUUUGAGGUUUAAUUCAUGGUUUUACAUGUUAUUUUGAUGAUGUGAUCGCACGAGUAGGUCCAUAUGAUGUUUUUGAGCUAGUAUGCACUUUUGCUUUGACGUCCCGAGGGCUCGGGUGAGUUUCGAAUAGGGUCCGGGAUAUAUUAGACGUAAAAUAUGGUUGUUGUAUGUUUAGAGAAGUUGCGGAACUCUGAUCUGCCAGUGCGGUCCACAAGGAUUUGUGCUCUCCGCGGUGAGGGGCUUUGCGGUCGCACUCGAUUUUGUACGAUUUGCGAUGAGGAAGAAUCUGCAGGUUCAGUAGUCUGAAAUAUUUUUGAGUUAGUAUGCUCUUUGGUUUGAAGUAUCAAGGGCUCGGGUGAGUUUCGGGUAGGUUCUGGAAUAUUUUAGGCUUAAAAAUAGAUGUUUCAGAUCACUGAACCUGCCAGUGCUGACCGCACUGAUUUUGUGCUGACCGCUCUGAUUUUGUGCUGACCGCGGAGGGGCCUUUGCGGCCACACUACUGUUCGCGGUGAGGAAGAACUUCACUGGUCUGAUAUAGGAAGCUUAUAUCUUUUGAUAUACAAGGAAUUUUGAGAUGAUUUUAAAAAGAAAAUUGUAGCCCUUCGUGUCUAGUUUCCAGAGAGGUAAAGAAAUAAGAAUUUGGACGUAUAUAGAGAAAGUUAUAGCCAAAAUACUAAAGCAUGUCACUGCAGUCAAUAUUGUGAGCUCCUCGGCCGCACUCCUUUUUGUGCGGUCCGCACAGGGGGUCUAAGAGGGGUAUAUUUAAAUGGGGUUUUUAAUUAUUUUUUUAAAAAUCCUAAAAACAUAAGAGGAGAUUUUUCAAACAACCUUCCUUCUCCACAACAUUAGUAAGUGAUUUCUAACUCAUUUUCUUUAUUCCCUUAACUUCUUUUUACAAGAUUUCAUCCUAGAAUCUAGGAUUUUCAUGGUGGAAUUGGGAAUUUUGGGUAAAACCUAAGAAUAUUGAAAUUUGGGGAUUUAGACCUCAAAUUGAGGUCGGAUUCCAAAACCAAUUAUAUAUCCGGGCAUGGGGGUGAAUGGGUAAUUAGAUUUUAGUUUGAAUAUCGGGUUUGGACCAAGCGGACCCGAGGUCGAUUUUUGACUUUUUUGGAAAAAACUUUAGAAAACCUAUUUUCAUGCAUUAGGAUUGAUUCAUUUAGCAUUUAUUGAUGUAAUUAAGUAACUUGUUGCUAGAUACGAGCGAGUUGGUAGUGGAAUCAAGCGUUAAAGUGAUAGUUGAGGCUUGAGUUGUGUUCAUGACAUCGAGGUAAGUGUUUGGUCUAACCUUAGCCUGAGGGAUUAGGAGUUGUGUCUUAUUUUCUAUGUGCUAGUUAUGGAGUACGGCCUAUAGGCAUGGUGAAGAGUAUCUAUACGUUGGUGUCAAGCAUGCCCGUGAGUCUUGUAUUGUAAUUGUUAUGAUUCCGUUGAGAUUUAUUGUGCUUCAUAUGAGGAUUAUUAUUAUUGUUCCUUUACCGGAAUGUUGUUGUCAUAUUGUUGUUCCUGGUAUAUUGUUGUUAUAUUAUUGUUCCUUUGCUGGGAUGUUACUGUUAUAACAUUAUUCCCUUGUCGGAAUAUUAUUCUUAUAUUAUUAUUCCCUUGUCGAGAUUCUGUUAUGAUUGGUAUUGAUAAAUAAAAAGGGAGCGGGUUGCACGCCGGCAACGGAAAUAUAUGAAAUGGGAGCGGGUUGCACGCAUGCAACGGUAAAUAUAUGAAAUGGGAGCGGGUUGCACGAAUGCAACAGUAAUUAUAUGAAAUGGGAGCGGGUUGCACGCCUGCAAAGGUGCAAUAUGAAAUGGGAGCGGGUUGCAAACCUGCAACGGUACUAUAUGAGAUGGGAUCGGGUUGCACGCCUGCAACGGUAUUACAUGUGUACUUGUUGUUCUUAUUUCCUUAUCUUUGCUGGUAAUUAAUUCAUAGAAAUCCUUACAUUUCUCUACUAUUGUUAUGUUGUUAUCUAUUACUCCCUGCAUGUUUCCCCGUCCAAUUUUUGUUGUAAUUAUCUUCUUCUAUUUUCGCUGUAUAUGGUUUAAGUGUACAUGUUAUUUGGUAGUCUGGUCCUAGCCUUGUCAUUAGUUCGUCGAGGUUAGGCUAGGCACUUACUUGCACAUGGGGUCAGUUGUGCUGAUACUAUACUUUGUACUCUUUUAUGCAGAUCCCAGUGCUAUAGAUUUUGGACCGCAGUGAGAUUGCUGUUUCUUGUUCAUCAGGCGACCUGAAGUAGUCCUGCAGGCAUCCGCAUGCCUUGGCGUCUCCUUCUAUCUACGAUUCCUGUUUCUUUCAUGUAUUUUCAGAUACAAUGUUGUAUUUAUUUCUUUCAGACCUUUAUUUGUAGUACUCCUAGACAGUCUGUGAAGUUAUGACACCAGUCUUGGAUAGAUUUGUUAUGGAUUGAUAUUAGCAGUAUUAUUAAGACUUUACAAUGUAACCUUCCGCUUAUUCAAUUCUGUUGUUAUCUAUUUGUUGGCUCUUAACUGUUAUCGAAUUAAAAAUGAAAAUAAGGUAAACAGUUUAGUUGGUUGGCUUGCCUAGCUUUCACUAGUACGCGCCAUCACGACUCUUGAGUGUAGGAAAUUCGGGUCGUGACAACUGUUUUGGAAAUGUACUGCAUUUGCUGUAGCGUUAUGACUGGCUUACGUGUUUUCUUACUGCUUAGUCUUUAUUUAAUUGUAUUACUUACUGAGUUGGCAUGCUCAUAUUACUCCCUGCACCUUGUGUGCAGAUUUAGGUAUUUCUGAACCCGGUAGCGGGUAUUGAUUACUUAGUGGCAGGUUCAUCGGAGUUAACAAGGUAGCUAUCCGGCGAUCAUAGCGCUGUUUUUGUCCCUCCUUAUCCUCCCUUAGUUGUAUUCAGUUAUUUCCAGGCUAUGUUAGUCUUGAUGUUGUCAGACGGUUGCAGUAGAUUUUCAGGACUAGUGAUAACAUAAUGUCGGGCUUGUGUAAUUAUUUUGCACUGUUCAUUUAGACUUACAUUAUGAGAUAUUUGAUUAAUUAAAGGCUUAAAAUGAUUUUGAUUGAAUAAGGGUUAAUUCGGGAGCUGUGUCGGCUGGUCUAUUUUCACGAUAGGCGUCAUCACGACCGAAUUGAUUUUAGGGUCGUGAACAAUGAUUAAUAAUAUACAUAUGCAAUUUAGUUUUAAUGAAAAAAAUUUAUUUAGGGUAAAAUCACCUGAUCAUAUCAAGUUGUGUGCGCACUUUAAAUCCCUUCUUGAUAGUUCCCAUAGCAUAUAAUUGAUGCAUGUAUUUGUCCUGAAAAUCUUUGUCCUCCUUUUUCAAUUUUUCCAGCUGCCGCGCUUAAAAAUAACGGUUAGAUGCGUAAAACAAGAAUUUGUAAGUUAAAAGAUUAUACGUUUUGUGAUGCUUUUCAAUACUUACGAUCGAAACCUGAAAUUAUGACCAUGAUUCCAUGGGGACCGGGUCUGUAAAUUAAUUAAU